Molecule: long non-coding RNA, 1405 nt
Filed under: Oreochromis niloticus (Nile tilapia)
Lineage: Eukaryota; Metazoa; Chordata; Actinopteri; Cichliformes; Cichlidae
Description: lncRNA (ENSONIG00000036381.1)
Source: RNAcentral
AUGGCAGACGGUCAGCAGCCAGAGGAGCACUGGGCCUCCAACGGCCAGGAGAAUGGCGAGAAUGGCUACUCCGCUUACAGCUCGGCCUAUAGAGAGAAUGGAUACCACGGGGGUGGGGCGACUGCGCAUCCUGGGACGUCAGUGGAUGACUCAGCCAAUUUGCCUCCCUCCCCUCCCCCCUCUCCAUCCGCUGAGCAGAUUGGGCCUGUGGCACAAGAUGAUAAAGUAGAGGUUGUCAGUCAACAGCAGGAUGAGAAGGAGGAGGCUCCAGAGGAGCUCAACAGUCACCAAGAGGAUGUGACAUAUGAGCAGCCAAGAGAUUUGCUCUUAGAACAAACAGAUUAUUUAACAGAGCCCCAGGCUUUGGGCUGCCAGCAAGCCCAGACCCCUGAGGCCCUCAAUGGAGGAAGUCAUCAAGGUGAUCACAACCCAUCACAAAAAGGUGUGGAGCACCAUCAGCCCCUCAGUGUGGCCCACCAGUCCAGGGAGAGGACCACUGAGAGAGCGUACCGGAGCCCCGAGAAGAAGUCGUCCCUCCCCAGGCCGGCCAAGUCUCUGACACGCCACAUCCCGGCUGCUGAACAGGAGGACAACAGCACCCCCUCCAGGCCAACCUCGUUCCGAACAGCCGACACCAGGUCUGGAAGAGCCCCUAGUAUGGCAGGUAGAACACCUAGUAGUUCCUUUUAGACCUUUCACACCAUCUUCAUCGACAUCUGUUUAUUAGUUUAUAAUGUUUAUUUAUGCUUGUUUGCUUUAAUAACUCUAAGAUACGGACUUAUAUUUUCCAUAGAAGAGAACUCUCCCACCAGAGUUCUCUCUUUUAACAGGAAGAAACCUCAGGCAGAGCUUGGCUCAGGGAGGGACAGUAAUCUGCACAAAAGUUUAGGGUCACUCAAUUUUGAAAGAAAAGCAUAUUUGUUUUUGUCUAACAAACAUGAAGUGGAUUGGAAAUGUUGCAGAUGGCAACAAAUAUCUCUGUUUCUGCCUCAGUGGCCAAUGUUGUUUACCUCAUGCAAAUUUAAUGGGGCUGGAUCAUCAGAAAACUCUCGUCCAAAUGGUUAAAAAUGCAAUGAAUCUGGCCUUUUGGGUGUCUGGAAAGAGGUUUUCAUUCAACAGUGUGUACUACCCCUUUCAUAAACAAGCACAAUUCAGCUGUUCUGGGUAUCAUUUAAUCAAACCGCCAGCUGAAAACUUGUCAGGUCUGUGGAUGCACUUGUCUUAUUGUCUGGUUUUGUACCAGGAUCUCCUCUUUCUCCUUCUCCUCUGGUACAAAGCCAUCUUGCCCUGUUCCGAGAAGGGUCGAAGAUGUCCCCCUUUACAUGAGACUUGUCUUCUUGUCCACACGCAUCGAGACAGUGUCCCAUAUUUUGAGUAGCUCUACUGUACAAAAGUAAAUAGAUAU